GGGAUUCCCAUAGUAACUGCGAGUGAAAGGGGAAAAGCCCAGCGCCGAAUCCUGCUGCUGGAGACGGUGGCAGGAACUGUGGCGUGAAGAUGGUGUCUAUCGGUGUGGCUCGCUCGCGUAAGUUCUCCUGAGUGAGGCUCCAUCCCAUGGAGGGUGCAAGGCCCGUGUCGUGAGCAGCCGUCGCCGAUGUGCGCUAUCAGAGAGUCGCCUUGUUUGCGAGUACAAGGUGAAGUCGGUGGUAAACUCCAUCGAAGGCUAAAUAUGACCACGAGUCCGAUAGCGAACAAGUACCGUGAGGGAAAAUUGAAAAGCACUUUGAAGAGAGAGCGAAACAGUGCGUGAAACCGCUCAGAGGCAAGCAGAUGGGGCCUCGAAGGCAGAGCCGCGAAUUCAGCCGGUGGUCCGUGCGGUGGGUUGGGAUGUGAGAGCGCAAGCCUCUGCCUGGCCUACUCGGUGCGGCUACCGGUGCACUUUCGCGGCUUGUACGCCACCGCCGUUAAGGAGCGUCCGCCGGGCCUGCGUGCGGAGCCUAGCUGUCUUCGGGCAGUUGGUGUCUCGCUGCGGGUCUGUGCGCGAUCGCGCUUUAACCGGUCAUGUCAGCAUGUGCCAGCGUUUGCGCUGGGUCGGCCGGCUCCGGUUGGGUUGUACGGGGAUGACGAGCUUGCUCGGCUCUCCUGCGCCUGAUGGACUCGUGCUGGCUUUCAGCGUGGCACAUUGUGGAUUCGGUGGCGAGUAGACGGCUGCCCAUCUAACCCGUCUUGAAA
RNAcentral lists this ribosomal RNA (764 nucleotides) under Cryobiotus klebelsbergi. RNAcentral's name for it is "partial large subunit ribosomal RNA". It matches the Rfam family "Eukaryotic large subunit ribosomal RNA", at positions 71 to 659 of the family's 3401-position model. Lineage: Eukaryota; Metazoa; Tardigrada; Eutardigrada; Parachela; Hypsibiidae. The record is from RNAcentral.